Molecule: ribosomal RNA, 1966 nt
Filed under: human gut metagenome
Description: bacterial LSU rRNA
Rfam family: Bacterial large subunit ribosomal RNA
Source: RNAcentral
GAAAGUAAAGAAGGGCGCAUGGCGGAUGCCUUGGCUCUCGGAGGCGAUGAAGGACGUGAUAAGCUGCGAUAAGCUUUGGGGAGGUGCAAAUGACCUUUGAUCCAGAGAUUUCCGAAUGGGACAACCCAAUAUCUUGAAGAGGUAUUAUCCAACGUUGUUGGAGGCUAACGCAGGGAACUGAAACAUCUUAGUACCUGCAGGAAAAGAAAAUAAACAAUGAUUCCCCCAGUAGUGGCGAGCGAACGGGGAACAGCCCAAACCAUCCAUGUUACGGCAUGGGUGGGGUUGUAGGACUACGCCGUUGCAUGAAGACAUCAGAGAAGAACUUUCUGGAAAGAAAGACCAUAGAGCAUGACAGUUGCGUAUUCGAAUGUUGUCGAAGCAUAGUAGUAUCCUGAGUAGCGCGGAGCACGAGGAAUUCUGCGUGAAUCUGCCGGGACCAUCCGGUAAGGCUAAAUACUCCCGAGAGACCGAUAGCGAACCAGUACCGUGAGGGAAAGGUGAAAAGCACUUCGAACAGAAGAGUGAAAUAGUUCCUGAAACCGUGCGCCUACAAGCGGUCGGAGCUGCUUAAAGCAGUGACGGCGUGCCUUUUGCAUAAUGAACCUACGAGUUGCCUUUGCCGGCAAGGUUAAGUGUGACGACACACGUAUCCGAAGCGAAAGCGAGUCUGAAUAGGGCGCAUAGUCGGCAGUGGCAGACGCGAAACCAAGUGAUCUACCCUUGGCCAGGUUGAAGGCUGGGUAACACCAGCUGGAGGACCGCACCAAUAAGCGUUGAAAAGCUUCUGGAUGAGCUGAGGGUAGGGGUGAAAGGCUAAUCAAACUUGGAGAUAGCUCGUACUCCCCGAAAUGCAUUUAGGUGCAGCCUUGUGGGUUACUGAUGUGAGGUAGAGCGACUGAUAAGAUGCGAGGGCUUCACCGCCUAUCAAGUCUUGACAAACUCCGAAUGCGCAUCAGUUUUACCUCAGGAGUGAGGGCAUGGGUGCUAAGGUCCGUGCCCGAGAGGAGAAGAAUCCGGACCACCUGCUAAGGUCCCGAAAUGACAGCUAAGUUAAACUAACGAAGUCUGACUGCUAAGACAGCUAGGAUGUUGGCUUGGAAGCAGCCAUUCAUUUAAAGAGUGCGUAACAGCUCACUAGUCGAGGAGUCUGGCGUGGAUAAUAAUCGGGUAUUAAGUUGUCUACCGAAGCAGUGGGAUCAUUGAAAUGAUCGGUAGGGGAGCAUUCCAGUCAGCGUCGAAGGCGUACCGCGAGGUAUUCUGGAGCGUCUGGAAAAGCAAAUGUAGGUAUAAGUAACGAUAAAGGGGGCGGGAAACCCCCUCGCCGAAAGACUAAGGUUUCCUGAUCAACGCUAAUCGGAUCAGGGUAAGUCGGGUCCUAAGGCUCAGCCGAAGGGCGAUGCCGAUGGCAGAAACGGUUAAUAUUCCGUUACUACCUCCAGGAGUGAUGUGGAGACGCAGUAGUGACAAUGCCGCCAUCUGACGGAAUAGAUGGUUGAAGGGUGUAGAUGUUGAUCUUGGCAGGCAAAUCCACCAUGAGAAUCGAACCUGAUAGUAUGCCGCGUCCCUCGGGACAAGGCAAUAGUGCAUGUAAUCAUGCUGCCAAGAAAAUCCGCUAAACAAAAUCCUGUAGGUACCCGUACCGUAAACGGACACACGUAGUCGGGAUGAAUAUUCUAAGGCGCUUGAGUGAUUCACGGUUAAGGAACUAGGCAAACUGACCCUGUAACUUCGGGAUAAAGGGUCCCUACCCGGUGACGGGAGGGCGCAGAGAAUAGGUCCAGGCAACUGUUUAACAAAAACACAGGGCUGUGCAAAAUUGAAAGAUGAAGUAUACAGCCUGACACCUGCCCGGUGCUGGAAGGUUAAGAGGAGAUGUCAUCGCAAGAGAAGCAUUGAAUUGAAGCCCCAGUAAACGGCGGCCGUAACUAUAACGGUCCUAAGGUAGCGAAAUUCCUUGUCGGGU